UUCUAUUAGACUUAAUAGGAUUAUUAUUGCAUUUCUACUUACCUUCCACAACUAGGAACUUGGUGCAUUCUCAAAUAAGAAUACAUGUAAUAUGACAUCAUUUUCCAUUUAUUCAAAAUAAAAAUAAAAAUAAUCAAAUUCUAAGACCUCCCGCCUCAAGCUUUCAUGUCGGAUUCACUACUUAUGUUGUAUUACAUGUAUUCUUAGUUGAAAAUAUACUAGGCACCAAAUUAUAGAAGGUAAGUAGAAAUACAACAAUAAUCCUAUCAAGUCUAAUAGAAU
Molecule: long non-coding RNA, 282 nt
Filed under: Physcomitrium patens
Lineage: Eukaryota; Viridiplantae; Streptophyta; Bryopsida; Funariales; Funariaceae
Description: long non-coding RNA (PPAT_LNC004156)
Source: RNAcentral